AUUGAACGCUGGCGGAAUGCUUUACACAUGCAAGUCGAACGGCAGCACGGGGGCAGCCCUGGUGGCGAGUGGCGAACGGGUGAGUAAUACAUCGGAACGUGCCCGGUCGUGGGGGAUAACGUAGCGAAAGUUACGCUAAUACCGCAUACGAUCUGAGGAUGAAAGCGGGGGACCUUCGGGCCUCGCGCGAUCGGAGCGGCCGAUGUCAGAUUAGGUAGUUGGUGGGGUAAAGGCCUACCAAGCCGACGAUCUGUAGCUGGUCUGAGAGGACGACCAGCCACACUGGGACUGAGACACGGCCCAGACUCCUACGGGAGGCAGCAGUGGGGAAUUUUGGACAAUGGGCGCAAGCCUGAUCCAGCCAUUCCGCGUGCAGGACGAAGGCCUUCGGGUUGUAAACUGCUUUUGUACGGAACAAAAAGGCUCUGGCUAAUACCUGGGGCUCAUGACGGUACCGUAAGAAUAAGCACCGGCUAACUACGUG
RNAcentral lists this ribosomal RNA (484 nucleotides) under uncultured bacterium. RNAcentral describes it as "partial 16S ribosomal RNA". It matches the Rfam family "Bacterial small subunit ribosomal RNA", at positions 30 to 507 of the family's 1533-position model. The record is from RNAcentral.